UACGUAGGGUGCGAGCGUUAAUCGGAAUUACUGGGCGUAAAGCGUGCGCAGGCGGAUAUGUAAGUUAGAAGUGAAAUCCCCGGGCUCAACCUGGGAAUGGCUUUUAAGACUGCGUAUCUAGAGUUUGUCAGAGGGGGGUGGAAUUCCAAGUGUAGCAGUGAAAUGCGUAGAGAUUUGGAGGAACACCAAUGGCGAAGGCAACCCCCUGGGAUAAAACUGACGCUCAUGCACGAAAGCGUGGGUAGCAAACAGGAUUAGAUACCCUGGUAGUCCACGCCCUAAACGAUGUCUACUUGCUGUUGGGGGCAACCUUAGUAGCGAAGCUAACGCGAGAAGUAGACCGCCUGGGGAGUACGGUCGCAAGAUUA
Molecule: ribosomal RNA, 368 nt
Filed under: uncultured prokaryote
Description: bacterial SSU rRNA
Rfam family: Bacterial small subunit ribosomal RNA
Source: RNAcentral